GACGAACGCUGGCGGCGUGCCUAAUACAUGCAAGUCGAACGCCGUUGCGCACGGGUGAGUAACGCGUCGGUAACUGCCUCAUAGCGGGGGAUAACUAUUUGAAACGAUAGCUAAUACCGCAUACUGUGAGAUGGACCUGCGUUGUAUUAGCUAGUUGGUGGGGUAAAGGGUCACCAAGGCGACGAUACAUAGCCGGCCUGAGAGGGUGAUCGGCCAAACUGGGAAUGAGACACGGCCCAGGAUUCCACGGGGGGCAGGAGGAGGGAAACUUUGGAAAAGGGGGGAAAGCUGACUGCGCAACGCCGCGGGAGGGAAGAAGGGCUUCGGGUCGUAAAGCUCUGUUGUUAGAGAAGCGGUAACUAACCAGAAAGGGACGGCUAACUACGUGCCAGCAGCCGCGGUAAUAC
Molecule: ribosomal RNA, 407 nt
Filed under: uncultured bacterium
Lineage: Bacteria
Description: partial 16S ribosomal RNA
Rfam family: Bacterial small subunit ribosomal RNA
Source: RNAcentral